RNAcentral lists this ribosomal RNA (460 nucleotides) under uncultured bacterium. RNAcentral describes it as "partial 16S ribosomal RNA". It matches the Rfam family "Bacterial small subunit ribosomal RNA", at positions 338 to 795 of the family's 1533-position model. The record is from RNAcentral.
CCUACGGGAGGCAGCAGUGAGGAAUAUUGGUCAAUGGACGAGAGCCUGAACCAGCCAAGUAGCGUGAAGGAUGACUGCCCUACGGGUUGUAAACUUCUUUUAUAGGGGAACAAGGUGUUCCACGUGUGGGAUUUUGUAUGUACCAUAUGAAUAAGGAUUGGCUAAACCCGUGCCAGCAGCCGCGGUAAUAAGGAGGAUCCGAGCGUUAUCCGGAUUUAUUGGGUUUAAAGGGAGCGUUGGUGGGUUGUUAAGUUAGUUGUGAAAGUUUGCGCCUCAACCGUAAAAUUGCAGUUGAAACUGGCAGUCUUGAGUGCAGGAGAAGUAGGCGGAAUUCGUGGUGUAGCGGUGAAAUGCUUAGAUAUCACGCAGAACUCCGAUUGCGAAGGCAGCUCUCUGGACUGCAACUGACGCUGAGGCUCGAAAGUGUGGGUAUCGAACAGGAUUAGAUACCCGAGUAGUC